AUUUUUGUUGAUGUUACGUUAAACAAUUUAAUAUUAAAUAUAAAAUUAAAGUAAUCAAACCACUAGAUAAUGAAAGACAAAAUGAAGGAGUAUGGUACAUUUUCUAAUGAUCAAUGUUCAUCUACAGACGAUUUGAGUCAACUCUGCUCUAAUACUUCAGUUGUACAUGGUAUGAUAGCAAUGGACGACGUAUCUGACAAUAACAAAAUAUGGAGAAUGUUGUUUGCCGAAUUUUUGGGCACGGCUAUUCUAUUGUUUCUUGGCUGUGGCAGCAUUAUGUGGCUUGACGGAUUAGGUUCAUCGGCUAUCAUACAAAUCUCUCUGACUUUUGGUUUCACAAUAGCAACACUAGUACAGAUAUUCGGUCAGACCAGUGGAUGUCACAUCAACCCAGCAGUCACGGUUAGCUUUUUGGUGAGCGGCCAAUGCUCAUUUUUGAAAUCAGCUCUGUACAUAGUUGCACAGUGUCUGGGGGCUAUAGCUGGUAUAUACCUUCUAGAAUUCGUUACUCCAGACGCAGUAACUAAAGGUUUAGGUAAAACAGCCGUAAACGCUUUGCUUCAACCGGGACAAGGAUUUGUUGUAGAAGCAUUCAUUACCCUUAUUCUAGUCUUGGUUAUUCACUCGGUCUGUGAUGAAGCCAACCGAAGCAACAUAGUUACGCCAUCCAUUUCUAUCGGUCUGACCAUUGCUGCCGCCCAUUUAGCAGCGAUUAAAUAUACAGGAGCUAGCAUGAACCCAGCAAGAUCAUUAGGCCCAGCCGUUGCUCUUGGCUUUUGGACAAACCAUUGGGUAUAUUGGAUCGGACCUAUUGUUGGUGGUAUACUUGGAGGAACCAUCCACACUUUUGUGUUGAAACGUCAUACUGAAGAGACAUCAAACCAUACAAUUAAAUUGAGUGCAUUCUAGUUAUUAAAUCAACGAUGAAAUGAAACUAUAUUACCUAUUUUAUUGCCUAUUUGUAAUAAUGUGAACUAAAAUAUUCUUACAGUAAUGGUGUAAACUCAAUAUGCAUUUAUACAAUCCUAGUGCUUGAUGGUCAAUAGUUGAUAAUCAUUAAUCUAACAUAAAAUCUAAAUUUAAAAAAAAAUCAAUUUAUAUAUUUUAUGAUUAUAUACAAAAUUCAGCUUAUUAAUUCUUAUUAAUAAUAAACCAAUUUAAAAUUAUUUUAAUUUUGUAUUCGAUUUUCAUCUUACUUUUAAACAAAAAUUGAUAACUCAGUUUAAACAGAUCGAAAAUUUAACCAAGUAAAAUAUUCGGAAAAGUAAUAAUAUUCAAAGUAGGUAAUCAAUUUUAUAUUCUGUUACUCUAUAUUAAAACAUUCAAUAAUAUUUUUAUAAGAAUAAUUAA
This is an RNA transcript of Rhopalosiphum maidis (corn leaf aphid), 1350 nucleotides long. It is a transcript of the gene named aquaporin AQPAe.a, with no coding region annotated. NCBI's taxonomy places the organism in Eukaryota, Metazoa, Arthropoda, Insecta, Hemiptera, Aphididae. The record is from RefSeq and is a predicted model, not a curated record. The transcript has 8 exons.